This 256-nucleotide ribosomal RNA is filed under the name uncultured soil bacterium. RNAcentral describes it as "partial 16S ribosomal RNA". It matches the Rfam family "Bacterial small subunit ribosomal RNA", at positions 26 to 279 of the family's 1533-position model. The record is from RNAcentral.
AGGACGAACGCUGGCGGCGUGCUUAACACAUGCAAGUCGAGCGAGGCCCCGUCUUCGGGUGGGUGUCCUAGCGGCGAACGGGUGAGUAACACGUGGGCAACCUGCCCCCGGCUCUGGGAUAACUCCAAGAAAUUGGGGCUAAUACCGGAUAUGACUGCUGACCGCAUGGUCUGGUGGUGGAAAGAUUUAUCGGCUGGGGAUGGGCCCGCGGCCUAUCAGCUUGGUUGGUGGGGUAGUGGCCUACCGAAGGCGACGA